CCCUUAGACGUUCUGGGCCGCACGCGCGCUACACUGACCAGUGCAACAAGCAUCCGUCCUUGGCCGACAGGCUCGGGCAAUCUUUGAACGCUGGUCGUGAUGGGGAUAGACUUUUGCAAUUUUUGGUCUUCAACGAGGAAUUCCUAGUAAACGCAAGUCAUCAACUUGCAUUGAUUACGUCCCUGCCCUUUGUACACACCGCCCGUCGCACCUACCGAUUGAAUGGUCUGGUGAAGCCUCCGGAUUGGCGCGCACCUCGGUGCCGCCGAGAAGUUGGCUAAACCUUACCAUUUAGAGGAAGGUGAAGUCGUAACA
Molecule: ribosomal RNA, 315 nt
Filed under: uncultured eukaryote
Lineage: Eukaryota
Description: partial 18S ribosomal RNA
Rfam family: Eukaryotic small subunit ribosomal RNA
Source: RNAcentral